RNAcentral lists this unclassified non-coding RNA (457 nucleotides) under Hevea brasiliensis (rubber tree). Lineage: Eukaryota; Viridiplantae; Streptophyta; Magnoliopsida; Malpighiales; Euphorbiaceae. The record is from RNAcentral.
GGAAAAGAGACAAUAAACUUGGAAUGCCACUUAACUCGAUCUGUUUUUUCCAAACAUUUUCUACUAUUUUCAUAAUUUCAUGUAUCCUAAGUAUGCCCUUCUGGAAAAAGGGAAAAAUGAUGGCAACAGCUGAAACUCAAUGUACCAACACCAAAAACUACACAGUUAAGAAACAAUUUGUUCAGGAUCUUCGUCCUGCCAAUCCUUUCGUCAAGGUGAGAGCUCUCUUCCCACCAUGGCUGAUGCCCCUCGAAAUUUACUUCUUUAAUGGAACCCCAACAUUUCAAAGAGAAGCUAAAGCCUCACCUUGUAAAGGUACACCUCAUGAAUCUUUUCGUCCAAGAUUUACAAGUUCAUCCUUACGCCUUUCUGCGAGGAAAGUGGCUGACUACUACAAAUCUGAAAUAUAACUACAGGUUGCUUCCACGUUCACUACCGGAAAAGCCUUGGCACUGAU